Long non-coding RNA from Myotis davidii, 374 nucleotides. RefSeq lists it as uncharacterized. The transcript is spliced from 3 exons. The record is from RefSeq and is a predicted model, not a curated record. NCBI's taxonomy places the organism in Eukaryota, Metazoa, Chordata, Mammalia, Chiroptera, Vespertilionidae.
AGCCCUAGCUGAGCUGCCCAUCCGGAGUAGUGCGUUCUCGGGUCGGUCUGCACCCCCACCUCACCCCACCCCUGUUCUUGUCCGGGCCACCUCCCCAAAGCAGCCACAGGGCACUUUCUGCAGUGCCAACCUGGGUUAAAAAUCCCCGAGGCUCUCCUUUGUACACCAAAAACAGCAAAUCUUUCCUCUUGACCUCCAUGUUCCAACAUCAUUUGGACAACCCAUCCAGCCCCCUUUGUACCUCCAUUUCUGCCCCCCCCACCCCAAUUGCUGAAAUGUAUCUGUUUUUGCCUCCCUCCCUUCAAACUGGCAGUUCCUUUUGGCUACUGUUACCUCCUGGACUGGCUAACAUUCAUUAAAGUAAUUCAGGGGUC